UACGUAGGGCGCAAGCGUUGUCCGGAAUUAUUGGGCGUAAAGAGCUCGUAGGCGGUGUGUCACGUCGGCCGUGAAAACCUGGGGCUUAACUCUGGGCGUGCGGUCGAUACGGGCAUCACUAGAGUUCGGCAGGGGAGACUGGAAUUCCUGGUGUAGCGGUGAAAUGCGCAGAGUAUCAGGAGGAACACCGGUGGCGAAGGCGGGUCUCUGGGCCGAUACUGACGCUGAGGAGCGAAAGCAUGGGUAGCGAACAGG
This 255-nucleotide ribosomal RNA is filed under the name uncultured bacterium. RNAcentral's name for it is "partial 16S ribosomal RNA". It matches the Rfam family "Bacterial small subunit ribosomal RNA", at positions 524 to 776 of the family's 1533-position model. The record is from RNAcentral.